CCUACGGGAGGCAGCAGUGAGGAAUAUUGGUCAAUGGGCGCAAGCCUGAACCAGCCAAGUCGCGUGAAGGAUGACGGCCCUAUGGGUUGUAAACUUCUUUUGUACGGGAGUAAACUGCGAUACGUGUGCCUUUUUGUAUGUACCUUAUGAAUAAGGAUCGGCUAACUCCGUGCCAGAAGCCGCGGUAAUACGGAGGAUCCGAGCGGUAUCCGGAGUUAUUGGGGUUAAAGGGUGCGUAGGCGGUUUGUUAAGUUAGGUGUGAAAGUUUGUGGCUCAACCAUGAAAUUGCCGUUGAUACUGGCGGACUUGAGUAGAGUUGAGGUAGGCGGAAUGCGUGGUGUAGCGGUGAAAUGCUUAGAUAUCACGAAGAACUCCGAUUGCGAAGGCAGCAUACCAAA
Molecule: ribosomal RNA, 398 nt
Filed under: uncultured bacterium
Lineage: Bacteria
Description: partial 16S ribosomal RNA
Rfam family: Bacterial small subunit ribosomal RNA
Source: RNAcentral